UACAGAGGCCCCAAGCGUUACUGAGAAUCACUGGGUUUAAAGGGUGCGUAGGUGGCGCGUUAAGUCCGUUGUGAAAUCCCUUGGCUCAACCAAGGAAUGGCUUCGGAUACUGGCGUGCUUGAGGUUGGUAUGGGUCACUGGAACUGACGGUGGAGCGGUGAAAUGCGUAGAUAUCGUCAGGAACGCCAAUGGUGAAGACAGGUGACUGGGCCAAUUCUGACACUGAGGCACGAAAGCGUGGGGAGCGAACGGG
This 253-nucleotide ribosomal RNA is filed under the name uncultured bacterium. RNAcentral describes it as "partial 16S ribosomal RNA". It matches the Rfam family "Bacterial small subunit ribosomal RNA", at positions 524 to 776 of the family's 1533-position model. The record is from RNAcentral.